This 478-nucleotide ribosomal RNA is filed under the name uncultured bacterium. Its description in RNAcentral is "partial 16S ribosomal RNA". It matches the Rfam family "Bacterial small subunit ribosomal RNA", at positions 28 to 523 of the family's 1533-position model. The record is from RNAcentral.
GACGAACGCUGGCGGCGUGCUUAACACAUGCAAGUCGAACGGUAAGGCCCUUCGGGGUACACGAGUGGCGAACGGGUGAGUAACACGUGGGUGAUCUGCCCUGCACUUCGGGAUAAGCCUGGGAAACUGGGUCUAAUACCGGAUAGGACCACUGCCUGCAUGGGUGGUGGUGGAAAGCUUUUGCGGUGUGGGAUGGGCCCGCGGCCUAUCAGCUUGUUGGUGGGGUGAUGGGCUACCAAGGCGACGACGGGUAGCCGGCCUGAGAGGGUGACCGGGCACACUGGGACUGAGAUACGGCCCAGACUCCUACGGGAGGCAGCAGUGGGGAAUAUUGCACAAUGGGCGCAAACCUGAUGCAGCGACGCCGCGUGAGGGAUGACGGCCUUCGGGUUGUAAACCUCUUUCAGCACCGACGAAGCGCAAGUGACGGUAGAUGCAGAAGAAGGACCGGCCAACUACGUGCCAGCCGCCGCGGUAA